Molecule: transfer RNA, 72 nt
Filed under: chicken gut metagenome
Rfam family: tRNA
About the family: Transfer RNA (tRNA) molecules are approximately 80 nucleotides in length. Their secondary structure includes four short double-helical elements and three loops (D, anti-codon, and T loops).
Source: RNAcentral
GAGGCGUAGCUCAGUUGGUUAGAGUGCUUGCUUGACAUGCAAGAGGUCACUGGUUCGAUUCCAGUCGUCUCC